RNAcentral lists this ribosomal RNA (406 nucleotides) under uncultured bacterium. RNAcentral's name for it is "partial 16S ribosomal RNA". It matches the Rfam family "Bacterial small subunit ribosomal RNA", at positions 28 to 526 of the family's 1533-position model. The record is from RNAcentral.
GACGAACGCUGGCGGCGUGCCUAAUACAUGCAAGUCGAACGCAGUUGCGAACGGGUGAGUAACGCGUAUGUAACUGCCUGGUAGCGGGGGUAACUAUUUGCUACGAUCGCUAAUACCGCAUACCACCAGAUGGACCUUCGUUGUAUUUGCUAGUUGGUGGGGUAACGGCCCACCAAGGCAACGGUACAUAGCCGACCUGGGAGGGUGAUCGGCCAAAAUGGGACUGGGAAACGGCCCAGGAUCCUACGGGGGGCAGCAGUAGGGAAUCUUCGGAAAUGGACGGAAGUCUGACCGAGCAACGCCGCGGGAGUGAAGAAGGUUUUCGGAUCGUAAAGCUCUGUUGUAAGAGAAGCGGUAUCUGAACAGAAAGGGACGGCUAACUACGUGCCAGCAGCCGCGGUAAUAC